This 3913-nucleotide unclassified non-coding RNA is filed under the name Manduca sexta (tobacco hornworm). RNAcentral describes it as "nardilysin, transcript variant X1". The record is from RNAcentral. Lineage: Eukaryota; Metazoa; Arthropoda; Insecta; Lepidoptera; Sphingidae.
UUGACCUGGUAGUUCUAAGCAUGCGCCAAUAAAUGUCAAAAUUUUUGUCACAUUUUAUUCAAAAUACAUCUGGUCCUCUGCAAGCACGACAGAUAUUUCUAACAAUAAUGCAUAGACGCGGUGCUUCACACAGAACUCCUAAAUUCAAGCCAGAAGUGAAAGUGGUAGGCAACCGUCCAAGGCAGGUUGCAAGCAUGUCUCCCAGACAGGAGAAAGUGGAAGUUUUACCAGAACCAACCAAAUCUGUUGCUGAUAAAAAGCUUUACAAGACAAUAAAACUAGAGAAUGGCCUCACAGCCCUGCUUAUAUCGGACCCCAGUCGCCCAGCAGAGAUUGAGUCAAGCGAUGAGGAGUCCCUCAGUUCAGAGGACACAAGUGAUGACAGUGACAGCGGCAGGUCGGAGCAGUCCGGCGGCAGCGACCGUGUCCCGUUCAUGCGGAAACGGGACUUCGAUGAGGAGAAACUGGCGGCGUGCGCCCUCACCGUGGGCGUGGGCAGCUACAGCGACCCCCCCGACAUGCAGGGGCUGGCGCACUUCGUCGAGCACAUGGUGUUCAUGGGCAGCGAGAAGUACCCGAAGGAGAACGAGUUCGAUUCCUUUAUUAAGAAAAAAGGCGGCUCCGACAACGCGUCGACGGACUGCGAGGUGACAACGUUCUACUUCGAGAUCCCGGAGCGUCACCUCGCGCACGCCAUGGACAUGUUCAGCCAGUUCUUCGUCAGCCCGCUCAUGCUCAAGGAGGCCAUGCAGAGGGAACGGGAGGCUAUUGAAUCCGAGUUCGCGAUGGCGUUACCAUCGGAUUCCAACCGCAAGGACCAGUUGCUGUCGAGUUUCUUCCCCGAGGGUCAUCCGGCGCGGACCUUCACGUGGGGCAACCUCAAGAGUCUGCGGGACAACAUUAACGACGAUGAGAAGCUGCACCGAGCUGCGCACGAGUUUAUGAGAAGGCAUUACAGUGCGCAUAGGAUGACUGUUGCUGUGCAGGCGCGCAUGGACCUCGCGACGCUAGAGCAGUACGUGAUCAACACGUUCGGGCGCGUGCGCAACAACAAGCUCGCGGCCGACGACUUCAAGCCGUACGCGUACCGACCCGACAUCGUCACCGAUCACUUCAAGGGACUGUAUUAUGUCAAGCCGGUCGGAGAUACUACGGAGGUCCACAUCACGUGGUGCAUGAAGUCGUUAAUGAAAGAGUACGAGACGAAGCCGCACCAGUACAUAUCGUUCCUGCUCGGACACGAAGGAAAAGGCAGUCUGCUCUCAUACCUCAAGAAGAAGGUGUGGGCGCUGGGCAUCUACACGGGCAACUCGGAGAGCGGCAUCGACUACACCUCCAUGUACAGCCUCUUCUCCACGCAGAUCGUACUCACGCAGGACGGACUCCAACAUGUCGACGAGGUGAUCGAGGCUACAUACUCGUACAUAAACAUGUUGCGUCGACUCGGACCCUCGAAACACAUUUUCGAUGAAAUAAAGUCCGUGGAGGAUACGAACUUCCGCUUUGAGGAAGAGAUGCAGCCGUCGGACUACGUGGAGACGCUGUCCGAGAACAUGCAGUUCUACCCGCCGCAGCAUUACAUCACCGGCGAGAAACUGUACUUCAAGUAUGAUGAGAAGGCAAUAAUGGAGAUCCUGGAGUUCAUGACGCCGGACAUGGCGAACGUGAUCAUAAUGACGAACCGGCGCGACGCGUCCAUACGCUACGACCAGAAGGAGAAGUGGUUCGGCACGGACUACCAGCGGAGAGAGAUUCCAGAAUCGUGGAUGAAACGCUGGAUGAGCGUGGAACCGUAUCCAGACUUCAAGAUACCGGAUAAAAACAUAUACAUAACGACCAAUUUUGACCUCAUCCCCCCUGCGCAGCCAUACAUCGACACCGCGCGGGAGCUCGGCGUGGACCUGAAGACCAGCACCGCCAAGGACCUCUACAAGAAGGGGGUGAACGCCCAGCAUACCACCAAACAGCUGAAACGAGGAGAUCUUAUCGCUACUGUGAACAACUUCAGGAUAGACCAGCCGAACUUGCUCCGGAAGAACCGUCAGAUGGAGCUGUGGUACAAGCCGGACUUCAAGUUCAGAUUCCCGACCGCGUUACUGUAUUUUUACUUCAUCACGCCGUUAGGAUUCAAGUCUCCGAGGGAGGCGUGCUUACUCGAUCUCUGGACGGACGUGUUACAACAAGAACUUAAGGAAGACAGUUACCCGGCGCAAAUGGCAGAACUGACGCAAGCUAUAUGGGUCUCCGACAAAGGGAUCAUGGUCAAAAUCAACGGGUACAAUCAGAAUUUACACUUGUUGAUGGAGCUGGUGUCGCGGCGCAUGGUGUCGUCGGUGGAGGGUCUGUCGGGCGCGAUGUUCGGCGCGGUGCGCGAGGUGCGCGCGCGCGUGUACUACAACACCGUCAUCAAGCCGCACAAACUCUCCAAAGAUCUUCGAAUGCAACUGUUGUUAGAGCCGUACAUAUCGCCGCGGAUAAAGGGCACCAUCUUACCGAACAUCACGCUCGACGAACUGAAGGACUUCGGCAGGAAAUUACUCAAGAAGUUAUAUGUACAGGUGCUAGUGCAGGGAAACCUCGCGUGGCACGAAGCUAUCGACAUCGCCGAUAAUGUGUACGACACUAUCAUGUGGGAGCCACUGUCGCCCGAAGAGAUGCCUGAUGUGAAAGUCCACCAACUCCCCCUGGGCGAGAAGAAGCUGCGCGUGAUGAGCCUCAACCAGCACUCCGCCAACAGCAUGAUCACCAACUACUACCAAGCGGAGGCGGCCAACGUCAACGACACCGCUACGCUCGAAGUCAUCAUGAUGCAAAUGGAGGAGCCGGUGUUUGACUUCCUCCGCACGAAGGAGCAGCUCGGGUACAGCGUGUUCAGCAUGAUGCGAUACACCUUCGGCGUACUCGGCUUCAGCGUCAGCGUCAACACGCAGGCCAACAAGUUCAGCGUGUGGCACGUGGACGGUCGCGUGGAGGCGUUCCUGAAGCAGUUCGUGCGCUCGAUGCGGCGCCUGUCGGAGAAGGAGCUGCGCGCCGCCAAGACCGCGCUCGUGCACGUCAAGCACACCGCCGACAUCGAGCUCAAGGAGGAGGCAGAGAGGCAUUGGAAGGAAAUCGUGAAUCAAGAAUACAACUUCCAAAGAUUGUUCAUUGAGGCGGACGCCAUCGAAGCGGUAACCAUGGCGGAUGUGAGAAAAUGGGUAGACAACCACUUCUUGAGCGGCAACAAAUCUAGUUUCAGAAAACUGUCCAUACAGGUAAUGGGUCACCAGUUAAACGACACCGAAUUGGAAUCCCAACCGACCGGACUGACAAACCCGCACGAAAACUACGCCCUUGUAGUAUUCGACGCGAACCAACUCCCCGACGAACCCCACGAGAACAAGGAGGAGUUUAUCAAAGAUAUAGAAAGCUUUAAGAACAACCUGCCUUUUGUGCCUGUGAGAAAAGUGCAAUUAGCCCUAUGUUGAAAUAAUUAAAAAGUAAACUGUCAACCGUUGAUGCUGGCUGGAUAUUGCUGUAUUUUUGUUAGUUUCCGUCAGGGUUAAUAGAUGGCGCUGUUUUAUAUGGUGCGUAAAUUCUUAUGAAGUUGAUGUGAAGUAUUAAACUCGACGGUUGACUGUUAAAAAUAUUGCCAAAUAUUUCUUGCACACAAUAUUUAAAUGUGGGUAUAUAGAUUUAUUAUAAUUUCAAUAAACAGGGAGCAUUUGACAUUUAUGUUCUAUGACAAGAUAGAAUGGACAUGAAUUUAUUUUAAUUUAAAUCAAUUAUAAAUGGAACGAAUGAACUACUUUUAAAUAUUGUGUGAAAUUAAAGUGUCCGUACAUUGUACGGUGAGGUGUGAUGUAUAAAUCUUAUUUUAUUUGUUAAUUGACAAUGUAAAUAAUUAUGUUUGCAGAAUAUAGACUUGUUUUAA